GUGCCAGCCGCCGCGGUAAUACGUAGGCAGCGAGCGUUGUUCGGAGUUACUGGGCGUAAAGAGUGCGUAGGCGGUGCUCUAAGUUUGGUGUGAAAUCUCCCGGCUUAACUGGGAGGGUGCGCCGAAAACUGGAGUGCUUGAGUGUGGGAGAGGUAAGCGGAAUUCCUGGUGUAGCGGUGAAAUGCGUAGAUAUCAGGAGGAACACCUGUGGUGUAGACAGCUUACUGGACCAUGACUGACGCUGAGGCACGAAAGCGUGGGGAGCAAACAGGAUUAGAAACCCUCGUAGUCC
This 292-nucleotide ribosomal RNA is filed under the name uncultured bacterium. RNAcentral describes it as "partial 16S ribosomal RNA". It matches the Rfam family "Bacterial small subunit ribosomal RNA", at positions 505 to 796 of the family's 1533-position model. The record is from RNAcentral.